UCGGGGGAAAGGCAGAAAAAGCUGCUGAGAAGCUGAUUUCUCGGCGGAGUUCAGUGGGUUGGCAGGCGGACGGGGGCAGAGGCACAAUCUGUGCUUGAGCGGCUGCCGGCGCCGUGCCAGCCCUUUUCGGCAGGAGAUGGCUGGGGGUUUCAUAACCCCUUCAAAGCCAAGACAGGCUCCUGCGCUCGCCUGCAGACAAACCCUCGGCGGAGACGUUUGGCUGCGAGCUCUUCCCUGCUGCCAGAGGGCUUGGGAGAGACGUGGAGGGGGCUCUUCGGGGUCCCGAUACCCACCACAACCCCUCCCACCCCCCAACACACGCACCUUUGAGACCCACACCGGCAGCCCCGAGGAUGCAGGUUUGCGUUCAGCGAGCUCCUGCCCCCGAAGCGGCGGUGCCGGUGGUGUGAUGCAACCCCGGGGCUGGGAAGUCUCUUUCUCCUCCGGUAAAUAUUUAUUUAGGCAGAGAAAGGAGCUGAUUAAUUAAAGCUGCGGCUGACAACUGCACCCAAACUAAUUCCUCUUAAUAAGACACUUGCAGUCGCCCUGGCAACAGCAUCAGAGCAGCCUCCCUCCAGGAGAUGACUUCCUGGGGUGAAAAACCCCCUUGGAUGCAAAGUGGGAUGCUGAAGAGGACCCUCCGGAGAUGAUGCUGUGGCCGAAGCUGCUCGUCCCCACCUCCAUCAUGCCCCGCUCCAUCCCUGGAGGAGACAGCAGGUCCCAGCCUCUCCUAGCAGCCAGCCCUGCUCUAAUUAGUGGCCCAAUUAGCCCAGCGAAGGCCAGCUAAUGAAUGCAGAGGAGCUGCGGCACAGGGGGCAGGCACGGCCGGGGCACUUCCAUGGCACGCAGUGGUGUCGCAGCUCAGUGUGGGGCAAGGUGAUGGGGACAGCAGCGGUGCCCACCCCUGUGGCUUUGCCAAGGGUGCAGCAAAGAUGGGCAGGGUGGAGAACCGGGGGAAGGGAAACGAGGAUGGGGAAGGGAAGGAACGGCCAAGCCCCGCACCAGCGGGAGCAGGCAGGGGUAAGGUGCCCAAACCUGCCUGGAUGUGUUUGUGUGCCCUGCUCUAGGUGAUCUUGCUCUGGCAGUGUUGGAACUAGCAGAUCUUUAAGGUCCCUUCCAACCCAGACCGUUCUGUGCCUCUCUGGAUGCUGCAGCCAAGCUGGGGUGGCCCCGGUGAGAAGGGGAAGGCACAGCUCCAGCAAUCCAUCUCCUCCCCCCUCCCC
Molecule: long non-coding RNA, 1223 nt
Organism: Pogoniulus pusillus (Red-fronted tinkerbird)
Lineage: Eukaryota; Metazoa; Chordata; Aves; Piciformes; Lybiidae
Exons: 2
Source: RefSeq, a predicted model, not a curated record